UCUGGUGGCGAUAGCGAAGAGGUCACACCCGUUCCCAUACCGAACACGGAAGUUAAGCUCUUUAGCGCCAAUUGUU
This 76-nucleotide ribosomal RNA is filed under the name Priestia megaterium. Lineage: Bacteria; Bacillati; Bacillota; Bacilli; Caryophanales; Bacillaceae. The record is from RNAcentral.